RNAcentral lists this transfer RNA (67 nucleotides) under Squilla mantis. RNAcentral describes it as "tRNA-Phe". Lineage: Eukaryota; Metazoa; Arthropoda; Malacostraca; Stomatopoda; Squillidae. The record is from RNAcentral.
AUUUAUAUAGAUCAUAUAUUAGAUCGUAACACUGAAGAUGUUAAAGAGGUUAUUUGACCUGUAAAUA